RNA transcript from Cimex lectularius (bed bug), 1021 nucleotides. RefSeq lists it as uncharacterized. The transcript is spliced from 4 exons. Lineage: Eukaryota; Metazoa; Arthropoda; Insecta; Hemiptera; Cimicidae. The record is from RefSeq and is a predicted model, not a curated record.
CAUAUGAUUGUUUCAUUAAAAACAAUACAUAAAAAAAUAUAGGUGUAAUCUAAUAGUAGAGGGUUGGGGUGUGCUGUUUGAUUGCCAAUAAAAAUAUAUAAUAAAAUGUCUAAAUUUUAGUGAAUUCAGUAAAACUUUAAAGGGAUAGUUGGAAAACGAUUAGGGUUGGAGGUGGAAAUUUUUGUUUACUCUUUUGGACAGAGAAUAUAAAAAACAUAUGGGAAGUACUGCAUCCAAACGCCCCAGUAACACAAUUGUCAACGAAAUGUACUGUCAGACCCUCGACCCCAUCUUGGCAUUCACACCAAUGAAGAACAAAAAGGAUCUUUACUACGAGAUCCGAUGUGACUGUGACAAUAAACUUUACGACGGAGUCGUCCUUGCAGAUGAGAGGGAAAUGCCAAAGUCCGACGCCCUCACAGACUCAGACAAAGAGGUGCAGACAGUUGAGGGACGGUGCGAAGAAGGCGUGCCAGGUUGUUCGGGCCAGGUUGUCCAGGCAAAGAAAUGCAGGAGGCGGGGGUCUUUUGAAAACGGGAAGGAUACCACCCUCGAAAGCAGGAAUUGGAGGAGGAUGUCGACCCACCCUUUUAUCAACUUUCUAAGGACAUUCAGGAGAAAUUCACCUCCAAAGAUGAACAUACACAUGAUUGCAAGGUGAAUGUUUCGCAUGAUGGACAGGACAGUGACUGUUUGUGAUUGUCAAAGUGCUUAAAUUAAGAGCCAUUUUGCUCUGGAUGCACAACACAACUGGACAGUAUGGUUCAGAUUCCCCCAAAAAAUUCCAUAAUUUGCUAUGACUGUCAAGCAGAUUUCCAAGAAAGGAAAGAUAAACUGCUAAACUUCACUUGAUUCAAUACACGAUUUGGUCUGGCUACACAAGUGCAGUCUGCAGACAGUGCAGUUUAGAUUUAGAAACAGACAGGGAAGGAUUGUAUGGCGUCAAAUGUCCCCACUCUGCAAGCUUCCCUUCAUCGAGCAAGCGAGAAGGGCAAGAUGUCGAGGAUAUAUAAAUUAAAAU